This 250-nucleotide ribosomal RNA is filed under the name Paenibacillus polymyxa. Its description in RNAcentral is "partial 23S ribosomal RNA". It matches the Rfam family "Bacterial large subunit ribosomal RNA", at positions 271 to 515 of the family's 2925-position model. The record is from RNAcentral. Lineage: Bacteria; Bacillati; Bacillota; Bacilli; Caryophanales; Paenibacillaceae.
AAACCAAGGAGCUUGCUCCUUGGGGUUGUGGGACGUCUCACAUGGAGUUACAAAGGAACCGGUUAGAUGAAGAGGUCUGGAAAGGCCCGCCAGAGAAGGUAAAAGCCCUGUAGUUCAAAACUGGUUCCCUCCGAGACGGAUCCCGAGUAGUGCGGGGCACGUGAAACCCCGUAUGAAUCCGGCAGGACCAUCUGCCAAGGCUAAAUACUCCCUGGCGACCGAUAGUGAAGCAGUACCGUGAGGGAAAGGU